CCUACGGGAGGCAGCAGUGAGGAAUAUUGGUCAAUGGACGGAAGUCUGAACCAGCCAAGUAGCGUGCAGGAUGACGGCCCUAUGGGUUGUAAACUGCUUUUGUAUGGGGAUAAAGUUAGGGACGUGUCCCUAUUUGCAGGUACCAUACGAAUAAGGACCGGCUAAUUCCGUGCCAGCAGCCGCGGUAAUACGGAAGGUCCAGGCGUUAUCCGGAUUUAUUGGGUUUAAAGGGAGCGUAGGCCGGAGAUUAAGUGUGUUGUGAAAUGUAGACGCUCAACGUCUGACUUGCAGCGCAUACUGGUUUCCUUGAGUACGCACAACGUUGGCGGAAUUCGUCGUGUAGCGGUGAAAUGCUUAGAUAUGACGAAGAACUCCGAUUGCGAAGGCAGCUGACGGGAGCGCAACUGACGCUUAAGCUCGAAGGUGCGGGUAUCAAACAGGAUUAGAUACCCGAGUAGUC
Molecule: ribosomal RNA, 460 nt
Filed under: uncultured Prevotella sp.
Lineage: Bacteria; Pseudomonadati; Bacteroidota; Bacteroidia; Bacteroidales; Prevotellaceae
Description: bacterial SSU rRNA
Rfam family: Bacterial small subunit ribosomal RNA
Source: RNAcentral